AUCACAUAUUUUUUUUUUUUCAGCACUCCUAACUGUGACGAAAUUUCACCUGGCACUAGAGCUUGCCACCAUCUGCAGAAGUGACAGGUGUUCAGAUUCCUGUGAUGAAGCUAAGCACAAAUGAAGAUACUCUCCUUAUACCCAAACCUGGUCUUUCAAAAUGUGAUUAUUUGAGGACAUCCUACUAUGAUGUCAGAGCAGCAUUCUGAGAAAAAAAUAAUGCCUUGAUGAGCUCCUGCCAGUGAACAUCUCCAUCAGCCAUGGCUCCCAUCCAGCAUCCUCUGAGUUGGAAGUGGAGUCUGUUCCAUAGAUGUUGGAAGCAAAGCACGAGUAACGCCCUGUGUCCUCCUCAAAAGCUUCAACAAUAAUCAGUGAGUGUCGAUCCCCUGUCUGGAUAAUUUGAAUGUCUGGCAGUGUGUAGCAGUGCAUCAGCCAGGCUUGUUCUAAUGGGCUGAAGGAGUACCUGCAGAAGAGAGGCUUACACUGUGACCAUUCUGCUGGCCAGGUCUCCAGCUGAGCCAGCCCAGGCUGGAACUGCCUCAGCCCGAUGCUGCUACAGAAAAGGAAAAAUAUUGGAAGUCUUCAAACUGUGAUACUUAGAAAGAAAAUGCAAAUAUGGUCAGCCUGUGCUUGGGAUAAGAAAUUAAACGAAACAAUCCAACAUGGAAAUUUGCAAAGAAGCCAAGAGUGCUCACCAUGAAGAGCUGUGACCAGGCUGUGUGUGAGCCUCAGUUCUGGUCCUGUCCCGUGCCUCUUUGUUCUCCUCAGUGCAGGCUGCUACCUUUCUGCCUGCUCUUUACGAAAUAGUAAGAAGGCUAAUUUUAGGGUGCUUCAUCAUGCUGCCCUGCAAAGACACAGUGUCAUGUCAGAAUCAGCAGCAUGUGGCACCACUUGCAGCUAUUUUAUAAGCUGAGGUUCAGUGUGUUACCAAAUUGGUCUCUGCAGGGCACAACCCGCUCAAUUAUUGAUGUUGUAUCCCUGAAGGAUUGCACCUUCAAAAUCAAAAGUCACUUUUGGCCUGACCAAAAGCUCAGUUUAAUGACAUGGGAACUGGUGUCUCACAGCAUCCAGCUCUUAAACUGAAAAACCCAAAAGAUUACACGGGAAUUUCUUGGUGCUCAGUUAGCACCUGGCCUGCUGAUCUAUUUAUAACAGAAAAAUACAUGUAAUAGUGCGAAACAUCACUUCAAAAGGAACAUGUGGGAAGGGGCUGCACUCCCAACCCUGUGUAGGAUGCUCAGAAAUGUUCAGCAUCUUCAGCCCCAACCUGCAGGUGCCUCAGCACUUGUGUGGCUUCUGCCAUAGUGCCAGGGCACAGGGGAGCCACUCGGUGCCAGCUUGUGUGGGCUUGGGGACACUGGAUCCACACGAGGGGUUGUGAAUGCAAGAACUUCGUCCCUAACACAAAGGUCAGCUCCUUUCCUUCAUUACAGACUUCACAUCCAGGGUUCAUCCUCAUCCUUUUUCAUUUUCUUUCCAUUCAGCCUCCUAUGAAAAGCUUUCCUUUGGUUCAGCUGUAGUUUGUGGCCUGAGAGGACGAGGGCAGUGGUGGGGUUGCAGGUUUUUGGGUUUGCUUAUCUUAAAUUGAAGGUGUCUCCUCAGUUUUCCCUUAACCAGCUCCCUUUAUCAGGUGCCUCGAGUUAAGCACAGAACUUGCAACGUUGUCAGUUUAGUAUUUCUGUAGUGAUUCAUGUUCACAAACAGGUCAGAAACUGUUCAGGUUGUUUCAGCACGUUGCCAUCAGUUAAUAAAUAAUUUGUCUUACUGGUAAGCACAUUUGCAUUUGAUCAGAACUGUUUGUGAGCAGGGUGGGCAGAGAGAGGACUACAGCACACUCAGCUAUAAAGGAUAUAAAGCAUAUAAAACACAUACUCUGUGUAUGUGUGAGUUCUCUGCAUGGAAACUGAAGAAUCUGAGGAUGAAAUGUAAAACUGAAAUGGCAUAAAAGGGUCUGACCAUCCCUUGUUUGUAAGGCUAUUUGCAUUCUAAAGCCUGUUCUUUGUCUUAAUCAAGAAUAUUCUACACAAAGGCUUCACACAAAGGUUGGUAAUUUCUCACAGCAAAAUGCUGACAUCUCUAAUUUCAUGUUAUCAGCUGUUCUGGACACCCAUUUCUAUUUUCUGUAGUCUGUGACAUGUCAAAGUAUAAAGCAAAGGGGUUUGAAAUGCAGAAUGAAAGUUUACAAAGUAUGUCCUGGCUGUUGCCAGGAGAAAAUGGAUGAAGAGAGCAGAGUCCAUCUCUGUUAUUAACUAUACAGAAAGUUUUAUGCCUUCAAAAAGAUAUAUAUUAACUGAAAGAUGUUUUCUAGCAAUUAAACAUAAAUGACAUAUUAAUUAACCCUAGAUAUGGUUAUUUCCCCAUUUUUUUAUUAUCUCAGUGGGGGAUUAAUGGGGGUACAAUUUAAAAACCACAAUUGUGCUGACAGCUAUCACCAGGCAGUAGCCAGGCAUUGCUAUUUUAAUAAUGGCAGGGGAACUGAAAAUAGUUCCCUGCUUGUUGGGACCAUCAAUAAGAAGUCUGUGCAAUGGUAAUAGGAAACCCUCAGUGCUAAGGCACUUAGAAGGAAAUAAAGUCCUUCCCUGAAGUUAAGCAGAUUUACAUUUCUUGUUUUCGCUGGAUUUGGCACCUCUGAGGUUUUUUUUGCAGGUGCUAGUUCGGACAUUGGGAAUUUUGAGGUGCAAGCUCCCUUGAGCACUGCAGCUGCAGAACUUCACUGUGGCAGCUUUGGUGCUAUGUCUGUUACAGAAGGAAGCUGAGAUUUGUGCAACACUCUGUGUAGUUUCAUGCUUUAUAUAUUUUUUAUUUAAUGUCCUAAGCCAGUUAUACCAAGUGACUUUUCCUUGGAUAAAAUUGUAGCAAGCAUAUAUAAUGUUCCCUUCAAGUACUUGGGCAUAUCCCCACAUGCUGGUCAGAGGACACAUUGCACAACGAAUGCCAAUAUUUAAAAUUCAUUUCACAGUGUAGUUAUUCACAGUUACUACUCCGUUGGGCUCACAAAUAAAGGGAAAAGGAAGUUUAGAAGAUAACAAACAAAAUGUUUUCCUCCAUUUGCUCUGUGUCACAGCUCCUGCUAUCCUGCCAGUCUUAGAUGCAGAAUGGCAAAAGGUAAAUCACUCACAUUUCUCCUUUAAAUAGCAAAACCGGAUAUUUGCUGUCCUGAAAAGUGCUGCAUCAUUUAGCUUGUGUCAGCUAUGCAGCAAUCUCAUUUUCUCUAGGUAUGAAUUUCGUAUUUCUGGUUUGGAUCUUUACUGGUAAAUCUACAAUCACAAACCCUAAGAAGUCCUGUAGAAUCUUACCUAUUUACAAAGGAGUGUUUAAUGGCUGGACCCAGACAUCCCAUUUAUUGGGAUUUUGUGAAAUUGUUUCCAUUAAACAAAAGGGCAGAAGGACACCAAACAUAGAUUCACAGUUCACAAAAUCACUUUGCUGUGAAGUAGCCUGGUCCCGGCCUUUUUUCACUUCCCGACCUACAUAAAGGUAGGACCCUUCUGUAAAGAGGCUGCUAAAUAAGAAAAUCUUAUUUGGAUUACCAACCCGGUCCGAUUACAUAAAUUGCAAUGGA
Parus major (Great Tit) is the source of this 3562-nucleotide long non-coding RNA. RefSeq lists it as uncharacterized. NCBI's taxonomy places the organism in Eukaryota, Metazoa, Chordata, Aves, Passeriformes, Paridae. The transcript has 8 exons. The record is from RefSeq and is a predicted model, not a curated record.